GACAUCCAGAGAAUUUAGCAGAGAUGCUUUAGUGCCUUCGGGAACUCUGAGACAGGUGCUGCAUGGCUGUCGUCAGCUCGUGUUGUGAAAUGUUGGGUUAAGUCCGCAACGAGCGCAACCCUUAUCCUUUGUUGCCAGCACGUAAAGGUGGGAACUCAAAGGAGACUGCCGGUGAUAAACCGGAGGAAGGUGGGGAUGACGUCAAGUCAUCAUGGCCCUUACGAGUAGGGCUACACACGUGCUACAAUGGCGCAUACAAAGAGAAGCGACCUCGCGAGAGCAAGCGGACCUCAUAAAGUGCGUCGUAGUCCGGAUUGGAGUCUGCAACUCGACUCCAUGAAGUCGGAAUCGCUAGUAAUCGUAAAUCAGAAUGUUACGGUGAAUACGUUCCCGGGCCUUGUACACACCGCCCGUCACACCAUGGGAGUGGGUUGCAAAAGAAGUAGAUAGCUUAACCUUCGGGAGGGCGUUUACCACUUUGUGAUUCAUGACUGGGGUGAAGUCGUAACAAGGUAGGCGUAGUGCU
RNAcentral lists this ribosomal RNA (526 nucleotides) under uncultured bacterium. RNAcentral's name for it is "bacterial SSU rRNA". It matches the Rfam family "Bacterial small subunit ribosomal RNA", at positions 983 to 1509 of the family's 1533-position model. The record is from RNAcentral.